This 497-nucleotide ribosomal RNA is filed under the name uncultured bacterium. RNAcentral's name for it is "partial 16S ribosomal RNA". It matches the Rfam family "Bacterial small subunit ribosomal RNA", at positions 28 to 507 of the family's 1533-position model. The record is from RNAcentral.
GAUGAACGCUGGCGGCGUGCCUAAUACAUGCAAGUCGAGCGAACAGACGAGGAGCUUGCUCCUCUGACGUUAGCGGCGGACGGGUGAGUAACACGUGGAUAACCUACCUAUAAGACUGGGAUAACUUCGGGAAACCGGAGCUAAUACCGGAUAAUAUAUUGAACCGCAUGGUUCAAUAGUGAAAGACGGUUUUGCUGUCACUUAUAGAUGGAUCCGCGCCGCAUUAGCUAGUUGGUAAGGUAACGGCUUACCAAGGCAACGAUGCGUAGCCGACCUGAGAGGGUGAGCGGCCACACUGGAACUGAGACACGGUCCAGACUCCUACGGGAGGUAGCAGUAGGGAAUCUUCCGCAAUGGGCGAAAGCUUGACGGAGCAACGCCGCGUGAGUGAUGAAGGUCUUCGGAUCGUAAAACUCUGUUAUUAGGGAAGAACAAAUGUGUAAGUAACUAUGCACGUCUUGACGGUACCUAAUCAGAAAGCCACGGCUAACUACGUG